This 254-nucleotide unclassified non-coding RNA is filed under the name Candidatus Campbelliibacteriota bacterium. RNAcentral's name for it is "Candidatus Campbellbacteria bacterium contains 16S-23S intergenic spacer region". It matches the Rfam family "Bacterial small subunit ribosomal RNA", at positions 524 to 776 of the family's 1533-position model. The record is from RNAcentral. Lineage: Bacteria; Candidatus Campbelliibacteriota.
CACGUGAGCCCCGAGCGUUAUCCGGAAUUAUUGGGCGUAAAGGGUGCGUAGGUGGUCUGGUUAGUCGCGUAGUUAAAGCCCAGGGCUCAACUCUGGGUCUGCUACCGAAACGGCCAAACUAGAGAGAGUCAGAGGCAGGCGGAACUCAUGGUGUAGGGGUGAAAUCCGUUGAUAUCAUGGGGAACACCAAAGGCGAAGGCAGCCUGCUGGGACUUUUCUGACACUGAGGCACGAAACCCUGGGGAGCGAAGCGG